CCUGCGGGGGGCAGCAGUGGGGAAUAUUGGACAAUGGGCGAAAGCCUGAUCCAGCCAUGCCGCGUGUGUGAAGAAGGCCUUCGGGUUGUAAAGCACUUUCAGUGGGGAAGAAAGCCUUGGGGCUAAUACCCUCGAGGAAGGACAUCACCCACAGAAGAAGCACCGGCUAACUCCGUGCCAGCAGCCGCGGUAAUACGGAGGGUGCGAGCGUUAAUCGGAAUUACUGGGCGUAAAGCGCGCGUAGGCGGUCUGAUAAGCCGGUUGUGAAAGCCCCGGGCUCAACCUGGGAACGGCAUCCGGAACUGUCAGGCUAGAGUGCAGGAGAGGAAGGUAGAAUUCCCGGUGUAGCGGUGAAAUGCGUAGAGAUCGGGAGGAAUACCAGUGGCGAAGGCGGCCUUCUGGACUGACACUGACGCUGAGGUGCGAAAGCGUGGGUAGCAAACAGGAUUAGAUACCCGAGUAGUC
RNAcentral lists this ribosomal RNA (465 nucleotides) under Vreelandella stevensii. Its description in RNAcentral is "partial 16S ribosomal RNA". It matches the Rfam family "Bacterial small subunit ribosomal RNA", at positions 338 to 795 of the family's 1533-position model. The record is from RNAcentral. Lineage: Bacteria; Pseudomonadati; Pseudomonadota; Gammaproteobacteria; Oceanospirillales; Halomonadaceae.